This 23-nucleotide microRNA is filed under the name Octopus vulgaris (common octopus). RNAcentral's name for it is "Ovu-Mir-12548_5p (mature (guide))". RNAcentral also lists the same sequence under 1 other name. Lineage: Eukaryota; Metazoa; Mollusca; Cephalopoda; Octopoda; Octopodidae. The record is from RNAcentral.
UCCCUGCCUCACUCUAGUUACAU